RNAcentral lists this ribosomal RNA (255 nucleotides) under Acidimicrobiaceae bacterium. Its description in RNAcentral is "partial 23S ribosomal RNA". It matches the Rfam family "Bacterial large subunit ribosomal RNA", at positions 2672 to 2925 of the family's 2925-position model. The record is from RNAcentral. Lineage: Bacteria; Bacillati; Actinomycetota; Acidimicrobiia; Acidimicrobiales; Acidimicrobiaceae.
CUGUCCCUAGUACGAGAGGACCGGGACGGACGCAGCUCUCGUGUGCCAGUUGUUCCGCCAGGAGCAUGGCUGGUUGGCGACCUGCGGAAGGGAUAACCGCUGAAAGCAUCUAAGCGGGAAGCCUGUUCCAAGAUGAGGUCUCUCACCGGGUAACCGGGUAAGGCCCGUGGCAGAACACCACGUUGAUAGGCCGGAAGUGUAAGCACGGUGACGUGUUCAGCUGACCGGUACUAAUCGGCCGAGGGCUUGGUUCAA